GGGCGACAGAGUGAGAUUCUGUCAAGAAAGAAAGAAAGAAAGAAAGAAGGAAAGAAGGAAGUAAGGAAGGAAAGAAAAGAAAAAGAAAAGAAAGAAAAGAAAGAAAGAACGAACAGGCAAGGGUUCUUGUGAUAAUAUUUCUCCCAACAGUUAAGUGACUAUUUUGAAUAAGACAAUGUACUAGGUACUUUGGGACAAAGAUGAUUAGGAUGCUCACACUGUAUCCUCAACUUUAAAUAUAUCCCUCCACCUUCCAAAAGCUGGAUGCAUUUAGGACUCAGCUUAAAUGCCACUGCCACCAGUAAGACCUUUCUAGUUACCCUAGCCUGAAGCAUUCUUUCCUAGGGAAUCCUAUAGGAUUUCAUUUUAACUGUUCAUGGUACACUUGUGUACACAUCUUUUCUUGCUUUCUAGAGUAGAUCCUCCUUAAAGCCAGGGUCAUUGCUUAUACAUGUCUUUAUCUCCAGAUCACCUUAUAUAUUUGAGUAUGGGGGUUUAAGAACAGAUACCAUAACACAAGACUAGAAAGCCAUGAUGGAUUUAAAUUUCAGUUCCACCACUCAUUUCAGAUGUGCAAUAGUGGGCAAAUUUACUUAACCUCUUUCAAGUUUGACUUAUGUAAAACAGGAAUAUUAUUAUUAUCUACCUCUUAGUGCUGUAAGAAUUAAAUUCAGAGUUAGCCAGUUAGAGCAGUGCCUGACCUACAGUAACCACUUCACAAACAUAUAACUCUAUCUCCCAGCUGCUGUGAGAAUUAGGCAGCCAUGUUUAGCAAAGUGCAUGGCAGACACUAAAUAUUCUAUGGUAAAUGUACAAAUGAAUGAAUUCACGUUUUGUAUUUUCCACAAAGGAUUUAAAAUAUAUAAAGAAUGAAGGCAAUAUUUCAUUAUAGAAAUACACUGGUAAAUGUAAAGACGGCAAAAGAAAAUGAAAUUAGGCAGAUCCAAGAGCCUUUUCCAAAAACGUCCAUUACUGCAACCACAGCAGACCCAAACUACAUCAGGUAGUUAGUAAUACGAAGUGCUCUAAUUAAGAGGCUUGAGGUCUUGUUCAGGGACUGUAACCUGGGUGCCCAAGAAAGUCCACGGAUAGUGCUAGCUUCGGCAGCACAUAGAGAGGAGAUUAGCGUGGCCCCUGCGCAAGUAUGACACGCAAAUCCGUGAAGCGUUCCAUAUUUUUUAUAAAACAAAUUAAAAAAAAAAAGAAGGUCCAUGGAUUGUGGGGGGGGGUGUCUGUGAAUGAAUGCACUGAAUUUUAUGCAAAAAUGUUUGUUUCUCUGUGCAUUUUCCCUGGGAGUAUUCCUAACUUUUUCCUAGUUCCAACUUUGCCACAAUUAACCUUGUAGAAACAUAAUUUAAAAAAAUUUUUUAACUUAAGAUGAGGGACUUAAUCCCUAGCGUCUUCAAGCUCCAAAAUGUUUGAUUCUGUGCUUCAUAACAAGUUUUUUUUUUUUUUUUUUUGAGACGGAGUCUUGCUCUGUCCCAGGCUGGAGUGCAGUGGUGCGACCUCGGCUCACUGCAGCCUCUGCCUCCCGGGUUCAAGCGAUUCUCCUGCCUCAGCCUCCUGAGUAGCUGGGACUACAGGGGCCCGCCACCACGCCCGGCUAAUUUCUUUUUUUUUUUUUUGCAUUUUCAAUAGAGACGGAAGAUAUUCUUAUACUAUCGUUUUCUUUCCUUAUUAUUAUAACACUCUUGUGCAAACUAGUCUAGGGCGUUUUUUAGGGUUACGGUGAUAAUAACAAAGUGCUCUAACAAUUACUAUUCUUACCAGCCACUGGAUUUGCAAAUGCAUAAAAGCACACCAGCCAGUGUUAUAAACAGCACCCCCUUCCUCCCAACCCUUCUUCUCCCCUUAGAAACCUAACAGCUGAGAUAUCAAAGCAUUUGAAAUUCCAUUUUUGACUCCAUAUACAUUUGUUUUUGGCUUCUUUGCUUGUUUAUAGUUUGUAGCCAGCACACACUAUCCCCAGAAUAAGCCCAACAGGAGUGUAGAUUAACUACCACCGUUUUAAAGGCAAACUUUAGUUUUACCAAAGCCUCCUACGGAGUUCAACACAUUCGGCUUCUGUGUUUCCCUACACCACCGAUCCCGCUGCAGACUGCAGGAGCUCUGGCAAGCGCCACAAGCGCCAGGGGAGACAAAACCCCUCACUAGCAGGCUUUGCCUCCCCAAAUCACCCCGGUCCCCUAGGCCCCACCGCCUUCUCCCUUCCUGGAAUCAAACGACCAAGACCCCGCAAGGCCUGAGGCGGCGGCCGCAGCGGGAGCCCAGACCACUGCUUACCGCGGCCCUCAGUCCAGAAGCUCCAGGAAUCGGCCGUAACCUAUGGGACCCCGCUCCCUUCUAC
RNAcentral lists this long non-coding RNA (2347 nucleotides) under Homo sapiens (human). The record is from RNAcentral. Lineage: Eukaryota; Metazoa; Chordata; Mammalia; Primates; Hominidae.